This is a long non-coding RNA of Eublepharis macularius, 736 nucleotides long. RefSeq lists it as uncharacterized. The record is from RefSeq and is a predicted model, not a curated record. Lineage: Eukaryota; Metazoa; Chordata; Lepidosauria; Squamata; Eublepharidae. The transcript has 3 exons.
GCGUUGCGACUGCAGGACCUCUGAGGAUGGCGCAGUUUCCUUCGUUUUCCCUUGCAGGCAAUGUGAACCAAAGAGUAGAAAGGGAACCAACAUUAAACCAGAGAAUCACAUCAAAGCAGCAAAUUCUACCCAAACCAAAUUGAAGCAAGGGAAUGGAAUCCCCACAGAACCAAAGUGAAGCCAGGAGACCAACAUCAAACUGGAGAAUCAUGUUGAAACAGUGAAUUCCAGGUAACCAAAACAAAAACAGAAGCUUGAAAUAAUUGCUCCCAGCAGCACAAGGAAAGAUUCUGUUCAAGGACCCUAUCCUACAGAGCACUGUGGGUAUUGUUUUUUUAAAAAAGCAGGCACCUUUUUGAAGCUUAUUCUAACCUAAUUAAGUUCCUGUUUCCCCUUGGGCCGGGCACUUGCAUGAGAUAACAGCUGCAGAGCGGUAAGGAGACACAUGAAGGACAAAAUAUUGGUUAGCAGUUGCUAUUUUCAACCUUGCCAGAAUAAACAAAGAAGAGCUUCGCACCUGCAGUCGUUGCUUUUGAGAAGUCAGCAUAAUUUGUACAUAAUUUUGGGAGAAGUGGGCAGCUAAAAGAAAGAAGAAUGGACAGUCAUCCAUUAGCCAUUUUAAUGGCAGUGGAGAGUUUCUCCAUCUGCAGCUGCAUGGAGAUAACAAAUGCCUUCAGAAAGGCAUGAAUAAACAAAAGAAUUCAAUGUCUUGAGAUUAUUAAUGCACCUUGGGGUA